Molecule: transfer RNA, 76 nt
Filed under: Chloroflexaceae bacterium
Lineage: Bacteria; Bacillati; Chloroflexota; Chloroflexia; Chloroflexales; Chloroflexaceae
Description: tRNA-Leu
Rfam family: tRNA
About the family: Transfer RNA (tRNA) molecules are approximately 80 nucleotides in length. Their secondary structure includes four short double-helical elements and three loops (D, anti-codon, and T loops).
Source: RNAcentral
GCUCCGGUAGCCCAAUGGCAGAGGCAACGGUCUUAAACACCGUGUGGUGCGGGUUCGAGUCCCGCCGGGAGCACCA